RNAcentral lists this long non-coding RNA (1280 nucleotides) under Vombatus ursinus (common wombat). RNAcentral's name for it is "lncRNA (ENSVURG00010021570.1)". Lineage: Eukaryota; Metazoa; Chordata; Mammalia; Diprotodontia; Vombatidae. The record is from RNAcentral.
CUGGAAUUCCUGGGGUUCUCCCCUUUCAAUGUGCCAUUUCCUCUCACCCAGGUGUCCCUGUUCAUCUCCCAGGUAGGCCUGGUGAUGCUCCUUGGCCCCCAGCCAGGCAGUUGUUGAUGUGGGCAGCCCCAGCAGCAGCAGAGCUGUGGCAAGCCCCUCCAGCUUUGGUCAGGGAGCCCCGCUUCUCACAACAAACCUCGCCUGGGCCCUGGAAUCUUGCCGACUUCAGCAAAUGUUUACACCUGCUUCUCCAUGGAGCAAGAAUCUAAGCAAGGAAUCUGACAAACAAAACAAAGGAGUGAGAGCACGGCGGGGAGCAGGGCGGCGGCCUUAGCUGCUUUUUUCUUUCCAGAGAACUGCCUGUUUCCUCAAACAUUUUCUGGGCCCCUUGCCUGAGUUUUCAGCUUUCCCCUUGCCAGCUGCCCAUGGUCCCAGUGCUUAGGGUAUAAUUUUUUUUCUGGCUAGUCAUCCUCCACUCAAAGAUUAGCCCCACUCAAGAAAGGGCAUCAUUCCCAUAGCAGAUUUCCAUCACCAUCCUAAGGUCCAAGGUUACUGCUAAGAAGGCAGUUGUGUACAAGGCUUGCCUGACUGACAUCUUUGGUUUGAGGAGGUGGAUUGCUGACCAGAACUCUAACAUCGGGCCGAUCUUGAGCAAGCUUUGUCCUUCUCGGCACGCCUAAACCAUUUAUCAAAAUGUUUAUCACCAUUCUCCAUGGAGGACCUGAAGGUUCAUCAGAGCCAGUCUUUGUGGCGCUAUUAAAAGAUGAUGAAGUUAUUGACUCUAAAUUACUAGCUACCCUGAGGCUUGCAGGAAACUCCAACUCCCCAGUGUCUGAGAAGCAACCAAAAUCUGGGAAGACCAAGAGAAAAACCUUGACUUCUGAAGCUCGGAGCCGAAAGGCAAACUGAGAACCUCCCCAAGGAGCAACAGGAGGCAGGAUGGGACCUAGGGAGAUGUGCUGAAUUCAGAGUUGGCGGACAUGGGUUUGAAUCCUGACCCUGCCACAAAUGACCUUUGUGACCUUGAACAAAUCCCUUUACCCUCUCUGGGCCUCAGUUUCCUCAUCUAUAAAAUGAAGGGGAUGGAUAAAAGAUCUCUAAGAUCCCAUCAGGCUUUAACUCUAUGAAACUAGAGCAGAAUCAUGUCUAUAUCAUGUCCUUUAUGCGGGAUGGGGAGACACUGUGAAAGGGCAUUAUGGCAAAGCAUCUGCUUUAGCUGGUAGUAAAACAUUUCUACAAUCUGUAAUAAAUAACAUUUGCAUACACUACUAAGCUAGAAA